UCGCUGGCACACAAUGUCACUUGUUAGGGAUAACUUAUCAGACUCUCAGAAGGCCGUCGAGAGUGCAUGCCACAAGCACAAACUUGCCGCUGGCACAUAAUGCCUCUCACACGAAGACGAGAAGUGCUAGAUGCCGCAAGCACAAGAUCACCGCAAGCACACAAUACCACUCAUGAGGGAUAACUUAUCAAACCCUCAGAAGGUCGUCGAGAGUGCAUGCCACAGGCAUAAGCUCACUGCUAGCACAUAAUGCCUCUCACACGAAGAUGAGAAGUGC
Molecule: long non-coding RNA, 277 nt
Filed under: Elaeis guineensis (African oil palm)
Lineage: Eukaryota; Viridiplantae; Streptophyta; Magnoliopsida; Arecales; Arecaceae
Description: long non-coding RNA (EGUI_LNC043000)
Source: RNAcentral